GACGAACGCUGGCGGCGCGCCUAACACAUGCCAGUCGAACGAGCGAGCGAGAGCUUGCUUUCUCGAGCGAGUGGCGAACGGGUGAGUAACGCGUGAGGAACCUGCCUCAAAGAGGGGGACAACAGUUGGAAACGACUGCUAAUACCGCAUAAGCCCACGACCCGGCAUCGGGUAGAGGGAAAAGGAGCAAUCCGCUUUGAGAUGGCCUCGCGUCCGAUUAGCUAGUUGGUGAGGUAACGGCCCACCAAGGCGACGAUCGGUAGCCGGACUGAGAGGUUGAACGGCCACAUUGGGACUGAGACACGGCCCAGACUCCUACGGGAGGCAGCAGUGGGGAAUAUUGCACAAUGGGGGAAACCCUGAUGCAGCGACGCCGCGUGGAGGAAGAAGGUCUUCGGAUUGUAAACUCCUGUUGUUGAGGAAGAUAAUGACGGUACUCAACAAGGAAGUGACGGCUAACUACGUG
RNAcentral lists this ribosomal RNA (466 nucleotides) under uncultured bacterium. RNAcentral describes it as "partial 16S ribosomal RNA". It matches the Rfam family "Bacterial small subunit ribosomal RNA", at positions 28 to 507 of the family's 1533-position model. The record is from RNAcentral.